Molecule: long non-coding RNA, 573 nt
Organism: Anguilla anguilla (European eel)
Lineage: Eukaryota; Metazoa; Chordata; Actinopteri; Anguilliformes; Anguillidae
Exons: 3
Source: RefSeq, a predicted model, not a curated record
ACUACAUGCACAGUGGCAUCUCACAUCUCGAAAUAAUGACUUCGAACACUGUGUGCACACUCAGAGUUCUGCUGUUCAAAGAAAAUCAAUUUGUUGGAGAAAAUGCUUGUUAUCAGAGUUGGAGCUGGCUUUUACUUCAGUGGGCUGAAGAUCAAUUCCCUUAUCAUCAAAGUGUCAAAGUUUUUGCAAAAACCUUACGGCAGACGUUACACCAACAAUCUGGGGGUCCACCUUUUAAAUGUUUGCACACACCCAAGAGGAUUCAGGUAAUAGCAUUCACCUGGAAACCAACUAGACCAUUCCACUAACUGUUUACAGGUAUGUGGUACAAAAUUUUAAGAUAAAUACUUAAAACUAAUACAGUCUAGCAUGUUAAAUAAAUAACAUGCAAAUCCACAAUUAUUCAUAAAUGCCCUAUUACUAAACAUUAAUAUCACUUUAUGAGACAAUUAACAUACUAAUACACUAACACAUGACUGGAAUCAGCAUAAAAUAUGAUAAUGAAAUAUGUACAUUACAAAUACAAACAUAUUUCUUUCACUGGCUGUCAAUACCCUGAACACAAUAGAUUGC